RNAcentral lists this ribosomal RNA (345 nucleotides) under uncultured eukaryote. Its description in RNAcentral is "SSU rRNA". It matches the Rfam family "Eukaryotic small subunit ribosomal RNA", at positions 594 to 945 of the family's 1831-position model. The record is from RNAcentral.
AUAGCGUAUAUUAAAGUUGUUGCAGUUAAAAAGCUCGUAGUUGAACCUUGGGUCUGGCUGGCCGGUCCGCCUCACCGCGUGCACUGGUCCGGCUGGACCUUUCCUUCUGGGGAGCCCCAUGGCCUUUACUGGCUGUGGGGGGAACCAGGACUUUUACUUUGAAAAAAUUAGAGUGUUCAAAGCAGGCCUUUGCUCGGAUACAUUAGCAUGGAAUAAUAGAAUAGGACGUGCGGUUCUAUUUUGUUGGUUUCUAGGACCACCGUAAUGAUUAAUAGGGAUGGUCGGGGGCGUCAGUAUUCGGCUGUCAGAGGUGAAAUUCUUGGAUUUGCUGAAGACUAACUACUG